Long non-coding RNA from Corythoichthys intestinalis (scribbled pipefish), 985 nucleotides. RefSeq lists it as uncharacterized. The record is from RefSeq and is a predicted model, not a curated record. NCBI's taxonomy places the organism in Eukaryota, Metazoa, Chordata, Actinopteri, Syngnathiformes, Syngnathidae. The transcript is spliced from 4 exons.
UUCAUUGCGAGUAGACGUACAGCGGGUGUAGCACAGUUCUCCGACGUAUCCAUUGCCAUCUUCCUUUCGUUAAAUAAUUUACGUUGUUUUGCGUUUAAUAAGUAUAUGCUAAGUUAACUCGCUCGUCUUUUUACUUGUUCAUUUUGUCAUAUAUAAUGUUUAAGUUGAAUUGUGACGGCGUGUGUACAAUGCUUGCUGUCACCAUCGAAGAUGGCUGCAUAUUUUCAGUUUUUCAAACUUUUUAUUUUCCACAAUCUGCUGAAGAUUAAUUCCAACAUGGAUUGGCCAUUUCCCAAUAUCAGCGAGGUGACUCAAUGGCCGAACAUGCUCAUACGUCCUGAUUGACUUGUGGGACUCGUCUAGAACAUGGACGAAAUGUAGAGGAAUCAGGCUUGACCAAGUUCACACCUCCAGAAUGACCAGUGUGACUCUGGUAGAACUUGGACAAAAUUUUAAUGUCAGAAAAAUCCUGCGACUGGACCAGCUCAUCAAAGUGUGUCUGUGUCAUCUAUUGUUCAUUUUUUAAAAAACAUUGAGUUCAAGCAUGUAUUUUAAAAGUGUCUUAAAUAUGACUGCCAUUGACAGCAAUUGUGGAUUCCUUUUGUGAUAGUGUUUGUUUUCUGUACAUGAAUUGUGUGAAGCUGUGUAUAAUUAAUAAAAACAAACCCACAAUGUUUUUUCCUGUUUUAAUUUUAGUUAAAACUCAGAACUAGAAACGUGGAAAUAGAUCCAAAGUAUGCAAGUGAACAUUGGUUACAUUUUGAAUUAUUACAUCAUGUUGUGGUUCUGGGUUAGCGGGGGACCCAAGAGCAGAGAUGACAGGCAAAACUGGCAGUGACAACACUUUAUUGACAGGGUUGGCAGAAGGUGUUGAAAUAGUCAGGUGAGUCUUUGCGAUUGAUGAGCAGAUGGGCAAGCAGGUGUUCAGGCAGGCAAGUAUCGCAGGAUCUAGGGAAUAAAAGAAGAAUUAGCUAAAUGGUAUUUU